Molecule: ribosomal RNA, 613 nt
Filed under: Phialophora verrucosa
Lineage: Eukaryota; Fungi; Ascomycota; Eurotiomycetes; Chaetothyriales; Herpotrichiellaceae
Description: eukaryotic LSU rRNA
Rfam family: Eukaryotic large subunit ribosomal RNA
Source: RNAcentral
GCAUAUCAAUAAGCGGAGGAAAAGAAACCAACAGGGAUUGCCUCAGUAACGGCGAGUGAAGCGGCAACAGCUCAAAUUUGAAAUCUGGCCUCUCGGGGUCCGAGUUGUAAUUUGUAGAGGAUGUUUUGGGUACCGCCCCGGUUUAAAUUUCUUGGAACAGAAUGUCAAAGAGGGUGAGAAUCCCGUCUUGGACCGGCGGUAGGGCCUGUGUAAAACUCCUUCGACGAGUCGAGUUGUUUGGGAAUGCAGCUCAAAAUGGGUGGUAAAUUUCAUCUAAAGCUAAAUAUUGGCCAGAGACCGAUAGCGCACAAGUAGAGUGAUCGAAAGAUGAAAAGAACUUUGAAAAGAGAGUUAAACAGUAUGUGAAAUUGUUGAAAGGGAAGCGCUUGCAACCAGACUUGAGCGCGACGGUUCCCCUAGCCUUUUGGCUAGGCUACUCCGUCGUGUCCAGGCCAACAUCGGUUCUGAGGGUCGGUCAAAGGCCCCGGGAAUGUACCUACCCACGGGUAGACUUAUAGACCGGGGUGUCAUGCGGCCUCUCGGGACCGAGGAACGCGCUUCGGCUCGGAUGUUGGCGUAAUGGUUGUCAGCGACCCGUCUUGAAACACGGACC